Molecule: non-coding RNA, 72 nt
Organism: Salmo salar (Atlantic salmon)
Lineage: Eukaryota; Metazoa; Chordata; Actinopteri; Salmoniformes; Salmonidae
Source: Rfam
UCCCGUGUGGCUCAGUUGGUAGAGCAUGGUGUUUGCAGCGCUAGGGUUGUGGGUUUGAUUCACACAGGGGAC